GGGGAUGCGCGGGACCUGAUCUGGUAGUAGCCAAGCGAUGGGGUGACGCAGGAAGGUAGCUGAGCCAGUCAGUGGUAAUACUGGUGUAAGCGUGUAGGGAGUGGCAUAGGCAAAUCCGUGCUGCACAUAUCCUGAGACGUGAUGCAUAGCCGAUUGAGGCGAAUUCAGUGAUCCUAUGCUGCCGAGAAAAGCCUCUAGCGAGCUUUUACACGGCCCGUACCCCAAACCGACACAGGUGGUCAGGUAGAGAAUACUAAGGCGAUCGAGAUAACUAUGGUUAAGGAACUCGGCAAAAUGCCCCCGUAACUUCGGGAGAAGGGGGGCCUCGUCUGGUGAUCCAACUUGCUUGGUGAGCUGGGUGGGGCCGCAGAGACCAGUGAGAAGCGACUGUUUACUAAAAACACAGGUCCGUGCGAAGUCGUAAGACGAUGUAUACGGACUGACGCCUGCCCGGUGCUGGAAGGUUAAGAGGACCGGUUAGCUUUUCGGAGCGAAGCUGAGAAUUUAAGCCCCAGUAAACGGCGGUGGUAACUAUAACCAUCCUAAGGUAGCGAAAUUCCUUGUCGGGUAAGUUCCGACCUGCACGAAUGGCGUAACGACUUCUCAGCUGUCUCAACCAUAGACUCGGCGAAAUUGCAUUACGAGUAAAGAUGCUCGUUACGCGCGGCAGGACGAAAAGACCCCGGGACCUUCACUAUAGCUUGGUAUUGGUGUUCGGUUCGGUUUGUGUAGGAUAGGUGGGAGACUGUGAAGCGGGCACGCCAGUGUUCGUGGAGUCAUUGUUGAAAUACCACUCUGAUCGUAUUGGACAUCUAACCUCGGACCAUGAUCUGGUUCAGGGACAGUGCCUGGUGGGUAGUUUAACUGGGGCGGUUGCCUCCCAAAAUGUAACGGAGGCGCCCAAAGGUUCCCUCAGCCUGGUUGGCAAUCAGGUGUUGAGUGCAAGUGCACAAGGGAGCUUGACUGUGAGACUGACAGGUCGAGCAGGGACGAAAGUCGGGACUAGUGAUCCGGCACCGGCAAGUGGAAGCGGUGUCGCUCAACGGAUAAAAGGUACCCCGGGGAUAACAGGCUGAUCUUCCCCAAGAGUCCAUAUCGACGGGAUGGUUUGGCACCUCGAUGUCGGCUCGUCGCAUCCUGGGGCUGGAGUAGGUCCCAAGGGUUGGGCUGUUCGCCCAUUAAAGCGGCACGCGAGCUGGGUUUAGAACGUCGUGAGACAGUUCGGUCUCUAUCCGCCGCGCGCGUUAGAAACUUGAGGAAGGCUGUCCCUAGUACGAGAGGACCGGGACGGACGAACCUCUGGUGUGCCAGUUGUUCCGCCAGGAGCACCGCUGGUUAGCUACGUUCGGAAGGGAUAACCGCUGAAAGCAUCUAAGCGGGAAGCCUGUUCCAAGAUGAGGUUUCUCACCCCCUCGAGGGGGUAAGGCCCCCGGCAGACCACCGGGUUGAUAGGCCAGAACUGGAAGCACGGUAACGUGUGCAGGUGACUGGUACUAAUAGGCCGAGGACUUACCACA
Molecule: ribosomal RNA, 1517 nt
Filed under: Rhodococcus sp. UNC363MFTsu5.1
Lineage: Bacteria; Bacillati; Actinomycetota; Actinomycetes; Mycobacteriales; Nocardiaceae
Description: bacterial LSU rRNA
Rfam family: Bacterial large subunit ribosomal RNA
Source: RNAcentral